Quercus robur (English oak) is the source of this 1078-nucleotide long non-coding RNA. RefSeq lists it as uncharacterized. NCBI's taxonomy places the organism in Eukaryota, Viridiplantae, Streptophyta, Magnoliopsida, Fagales, Fagaceae. The transcript has 5 exons. The record is from RefSeq and is a predicted model, not a curated record.
UAAAACGCCAUAUUGGGUAACACUUCUACCUCUCAUUCAUACCCGAAAAAUUUCAGCUAAAAUUUCUCCCCAAUUCUGAAAACCAAACCCUAUAACUCUGAAAAUAAAAAACUCAAAACACGUGUCUUCUCUACUUUUUUUUUUUUCCUUCCCCCAAAUCGCAAAAUCUCUCACUCCUCGACCAUACAAGCUUAUAUGGAUGGUUACCGAAGCUCAAUGGAAAGUUCUCCGUUGAAUCUUGCAACCCAACUCACUGAUAUGCCAACCACAAACUGAUGUUCGCUGGAAAAAGCUUUGGAAGCUCAAAUACCCUGAAAGGAUUAAGAGAAUUGCCUCUUCAGCUGCUUCGCUCAUACCGAAGAGUGGUGUGGGCAUGGGAGGUUCAUGGACAAGAGAAUCGUCUAAUACAGCUAUAUAGUUCAUCAAUAAGGCAAGGCCAUGAAUUACAUUGAUGGCUGUUGGCUGGGAAUAUGGUGCAAACAUGUUGACGAAGUACUUGGCAGAAGCUGGAGAGAAUACACCGCUUACAGUUGCCACGUGCAUAGACAAUCCAUUUGACUUAGAGGAGGCUACAAGGUCCUCUCCUUAUCACAUGGCCAUUGAUCAGAAGCUCACUAGUGGACUGAUAGAUAUUCUAAGAUCUAAUAAGUAUCUUCAAUCUUCAACUUUUUUUUAAAACAUCAUCAAAAUCAAAGUCCUGGGUUAGAAAGAUUUGGUGGGCAUGAGCAUAAUUUUCAAUCAAAGCUGUUUUCUAGGAACUAUUUCAAGGCAAAGCAAAAGGGUUUGACAUGGAGAAGGCUUUAUUGGCAAAGUCUAUUCAUGAUUUUGAAAAAGCAAUAUCUAUGGUAUCUUAGCACAAGGGACGUGGUUGGGAAUGUGAGCAAGCAAAGAAGAUUUAUAAAACUCAAUGUUUUAUGUUGAAUAAAUAUAUGAUGUACUCUUCUAUAUAAUGCAGAUUUGUUGUAUUAUGUUCUUUCUCUACUCUUUUUGAGUCAUUGCAAAAGAAUUUGACAUUGGUAACUAUAUUCUAUUUAUUUAUUAUGAAAAUAAGAUUGCGAUCAUUAUUGCAAUUUGAUUA